Molecule: ribosomal RNA, 183 nt
Filed under: uncultured bacterium
Lineage: Bacteria
Description: partial 16S ribosomal RNA
Rfam family: Bacterial small subunit ribosomal RNA
Source: RNAcentral
UGCAUGAAGUUGGAAUUGCUAGUAAUCGCGGAUCAGCAUGCCGCGGUGAAUACGUUCCCGGGGAUUGUACACACCGCCCGUCACACCAUGAGAGUCGGGAACACCCAAAGUCCGUAGUCUAACCGCAAGGAGGACGCGGCCUAAGGUGGGUUCGAUAAUUGGGUGAAGUCGUAACAAGGUAAC